GAUGAACGCUGGCGGCGUGCCUAAUACAUGCAAGUCGAGCGAACAGACGAGGAGCUUGCUCCUCUGACGUUAGCGGCGGACGGGUGAGUAACACGUGGAUAACCUACCUAUAAGACUGGGAUAACUUCGGGAAACCGGAGCUAAUACCGGAUAAUAUAUUGAACCGCAUGGUUCAAUAGUGAAAGACGGUUUUGCUGUCACUUAUAGAUGGAUCCGCGCCGCAUUAGCUAGUUGGUAAGGUAACGGCUUACCAAGGCGACGAUGCGUAGCCGACCUGAGAGGGUGAUCGGCCACACUGGAACUGAGACACGGUCCAGACUCCUACGGGAGGCAGCAGUAGGGAAUCUUCCGCAAUGGGGGAAAGCUUGACGGAGCAACGCCGCGUGAGUGAUGAAGGUCUUCGGAUCGUAAAACUCUGUUAUUAGGGAAGAACAAAUGUGUAAGUAACUAUGCACGUCUUGACGGUACCUAAUCAGAAAGCCACGGCUAACUACGUG
This 497-nucleotide ribosomal RNA is filed under the name uncultured bacterium. RNAcentral's name for it is "partial 16S ribosomal RNA". It matches the Rfam family "Bacterial small subunit ribosomal RNA", at positions 28 to 507 of the family's 1533-position model. The record is from RNAcentral.